CUAUACAUGACUCUGCGCAUAUCAAUAAGCGGAGGAAAAGAAACUAACAAGGAUUCCCUUAGUAACGGCGAGUGAAGCGGGAAGAGCUCAAAUUUGAAAUCUUCAAGGUUUUACCUUGACGAAUGGUAGUUUAAAGAAGUGUUUUCUGUUGAAGUUUUGGUAAAAGUUCUUUGGAAUAGGACAUCAUAGAGGGUGAGAAUCCCGUAUUUGACCAUUAUUUUCAGCUGUGUGAUACACUUUCAAAGAGUCGGAUUGUUUGGGAAUGCAGUCCAAAAUGGGUGGUAAAUUUCAUCUAAAGCUAAAUAUUGGCGAGAGACCGAUAGCGAACAAGUACCGUGAGGGAAAGAUGAAAAGAACUUUGAAAAGAGAGUUAAACAGUACGUGAAAUUGUCAAAAGGGAAGCGUUUGACACCAGUGUUGUUUUCUCGAAAAUCAAUUAAAAAAGGCCGGAUUUUGUGUUGUAUUGACCUUAAAAGCUUUCUUCACUCUUUUCUUGUCUUUUUUAAUGCACUUUUCGUUUAACAAGUCAACAUCAGUUUCUUUUGUUGUAAAAGGGUCAUUGGAAGGUGGCUUUCUUUUCGGAGAAAGUGUUUAUAGCCUUUGAUCUCUGCAACCGGAGAGACUGAGGUCUGCAGCGUAGACUCCUCGGGGUUAAAUACAUUUGUGCUAAGCUAUAGCUUUUUAUAGACAACUUGUUGACUAUAUUUAGUCUUGUAGCUUACUCGCUUAUGCUAUUUUACCUACGCUUAGGAUGUUGACGAGACUGUCGAUCUCAUCUAUACAUGACUCUGCGCAUAUCAAUAAGCGGAGGAAAAGGAGUAUACCUACGCUUAGGAUGUUGACGAGACUGUCGAUCUCAUCUAUACAUGACUCUGCGCAUAUCAAUAAGCGGAGGAAAAGAGGGCUAUUACCUACACUUAGGAUGUUGACGAGACUGUCGAUCUC
This 945-nucleotide ribosomal RNA is filed under the name uncultured Neocallimastigales. Its description in RNAcentral is "partial large subunit ribosomal RNA". It matches the Rfam family "Eukaryotic large subunit ribosomal RNA", at positions 22 to 641 of the family's 3401-position model. The record is from RNAcentral. Lineage: Eukaryota; Fungi; Neocallimastigomycota; Neocallimastigomycetes; Neocallimastigales.